Zootermopsis nevadensis is the source of this 1575-nucleotide non-coding RNA. Lineage: Eukaryota; Metazoa; Arthropoda; Insecta; Blattodea; Termopsidae. The record is from RefSeq and is a predicted model, not a curated record.
UAAUAUAAAAGAUUUUCGGUGUGUCCUCAGGGGAAAUGAACGUAGUUUAAGCCAUAUGUUUUAAAAAAUUCAAAGAUUGUCCCGGUUAUAACUUAGAUUGUUUCUGCGCGUACUGUACUACACUAUUCCGGCCACGCUUACAUGUGCAAAGAACGGGAAAACGUGUUAUUUGUAGCAGCUAUCACGGAAGAUGAAAAGAGGUUAAGCCUGGAUUCUGCUCAGAAACUCGGCAUCACUGAAACAGAUUUUUUCCUUCUUCCAUUCCAUAGCGAAAAGAACGAGACGAAUGAAAGAAAAAGAAAGUAGGAGAGAAUAUCAAGAGAGGAAUAACAUAAAUGAUGAAAAUAUAUAAGAAAAGAGACGAAAGGACAAUUUCUUAAAAUACAGUCUGUGUCACCUCAUUUCGUUGGAUGAGGGAAAAGAGUCAGAAAAGCAUAAAACAGAUAUUCAAGAAGAGAAACAAGGAGGACUGACUGAGUUCCACGGCGUUGCCCGAACAUCCACGUCUCUUCCUGACAUAAACCAAAUGCAUGGCACAGAACGUAUACGAGUAACUUACAGUCUUCUUCCUGUAAAUUCUUUCCAGCUGCUGGACUAUACGACUUGCAGCUCAAGACAGUGCGUUACAACUCCAGCUAGUAUCCAGGACAAAGAAGUGAAAACUAGUAUCAGUCGCAUCUUAUCUUCUCGACAGAAUUUGUGGUGGAAGUCAACAUAAUUGACGGUGUCAAUGGCUGGCUCUUGUGAUUACGAUUGGCAGUAACUACAAGAGACAGAGCUCCUUCAUAAGCUAACAAUGGAUCGCCUGCUCAAAUGUGUUAUUGAAAUUCUAUGAAACUGAAGCCAACAAUUAUAGGUAAUGCUGUAUAGUACACAGCGAAGCAUACCGUUCACACAUGACGAAUUCUACCAAAAGGAACAAAAUGUGGCAUCAGCAGUAACUCAUACAUUUAACAACAAAGUAAAAACUAAGUGAUCGGGUUCGUGGCGGUAGAAAUAAUAUUUGUCUAACAUGUUAUAAUAUAGCCACUGUAGCUGACACUGGAAUCACAGCAGCACGUGUUUAGUUCCUAUCCUGAAUCAUUAUAUUCCAUUUUAUAUUGCCACAACCUCUUUAUAAAAUAACGAUUUUAUAUUAUUAAUCCGUGUAGAGGUACCGCAAAAGCUAGUUUUCCACGACAUCUAAGGAACAAACUUUUGUAUAUACUUGAUAGUCUUACAUCAAAGAGAAUUAUUAAAAUAUUAGGUUUAGCCUUCCAAGGCAUAAUGUUAACUAUAUGCUCCACAAUAUACUAUGUAUUUUGUACUCAUGGGCUUCACAUAUUUCCAAUGUAAACACUUUUUUCCUUACACAUUAUUAACCACUUAAUCUUUGUCAUGGUAAAUGUUGUUUUCUUUACAGCACUGACUGAACUGUUAACUGUUUAAGAAAGCUCUAACCUUAAAGUGUCUGUGUAUAACCUGUGAGCACUUUCACUUUUUCCUUAUUACAUUUUUCUUAGAUCCAAAUUUUCUUUACGGAAACCCUCAAUUCCACACACACUUAAGCCAAAUAAAAGCCAAUUUGCAGUUGUG